AACGAACGCUGGCGGCAUGCCUAACACAUGCAAGUCGAACGAGACCUUCGGGUCUAGUGGCGCACGUGUGCGUAACGCGUGGGAACCUGCCCUUAGGUUCAGAAUAACUCCCCGAAAGGGGUGCUAAUACCGGAUAAUGUCUUCGGACCAAAGAUUUAUCGCCUUUGGAUGGGCCCGCGUUGGAUUAGCUAGUUGGUAGGGUAAAAGCCUACCAAGGCGACGAUCCAUAGCUGGUCUGAGAGGAUGAUCAGCCACACUGGGACUGAGACACGGCCCAGACUCCUACGGGAGGCAGCAGUGGGGAAUAUUGGACAAUGGGCGAAAGCCUGAUCCAGCAAUGCCGCGUGAGUGAUGAAGGCCUUAGGGUUGUAAAGCUCUUUUACCCGGGAUGAUAAUGACAGUACCGGGAGAAUAAGCGCCGGCUAACUCCGUG
This 433-nucleotide ribosomal RNA is filed under the name uncultured bacterium. RNAcentral describes it as "partial 16S ribosomal RNA". It matches the Rfam family "Bacterial small subunit ribosomal RNA", at positions 29 to 507 of the family's 1533-position model. The record is from RNAcentral.